UUUCAUGAUGAAGAAGAGCUACAAGCUCGACAUAAUCCCAGCUCGUCGACAGCAGUCUCACCCAAAAUCUCACGUUUAGAGGCUGUUAUGAGAGGAAGUCCAACCCUGACAC
This 112-nucleotide small nucleolar RNA is filed under the name Fonsecaea multimorphosa CBS 102226. Its description in RNAcentral is "A. fumigatus snoRNA Afu_304". It matches the Rfam family "A. fumigatus snoRNA Afu_304". Lineage: Eukaryota; Fungi; Ascomycota; Eurotiomycetes; Chaetothyriales; Herpotrichiellaceae. The record is from Rfam by way of RNAcentral.